Molecule: small nucleolar RNA, 69 nt
Organism: Chlorocebus sabaeus (green monkey)
Lineage: Eukaryota; Metazoa; Chordata; Mammalia; Primates; Cercopithecidae
Source: Ensembl
UCUCAGUGAUGAAAACUUUGUCCAGUUCUGCUACUGACAGUAAGUGACGAUAAAGUGUGUCUGAGGAGA